Molecule: ribosomal RNA, 424 nt
Filed under: Fusobacteriota bacterium
Lineage: Bacteria; Fusobacteriati; Fusobacteriota
Description: Fusobacteria bacterium partial 16S ribosomal RNA
Rfam family: Bacterial small subunit ribosomal RNA
Source: RNAcentral
UGAGGAAUAUUGGUCAAUGGGCGAGAGCCUGAACCAGCCAAGUCGCGUGAAGGAAGACAGUCCUAAGGAUUGUAAACUUCUUUUAUACGGGAAUAACGGGCGAUACGAGUAUUGCAUUGAAUGUACCGUAAGAAUAAGCAUCGGCUAACUCCGUGCCAGCAGCCGCGCUAAUACGGAGGAUGCGAGCGUUAUCCGGAUUUAUUGGGUUUAAAGGGUGCGUAGGUUGUUCGGUAAGUCAGCGGUGAAACCUGAGCGCUCAACGUUCAGCCUGCCGUUGAAACUGCCGGGCUUGAGUUCAGUGGCGGCAGGCGGAAUUCGUGGUGUAGCGGUGAAAUGCAUAGAUAUCACGAGGAACUCCGAUUGCGAAGGCAGCUUGCCAUACUGCGACUGACACUGAAGCACGAAGGCGUGGGUAUCAAACAGG